GCAUGGGAAGACUGAAAAUGUGCUUACAGUCCUACUUCAUGUUUGGCUCUUCAUUUUAACAUUCAGCAGUGCAAGUUUGAAGGAGUGACCCUUCACUGCAUGGAAAGAAUCUUGGGAGGGCUUGGACCUUAUAGUUUGAACGCCUUGCUGCUGUCCUUCCUUCCUGCUUGGGUGUGGUAGCAGAGCUGGGGCUGGCUUUGGCAGUGGCCACAUGACUCUAAGUGGUAUGAGAGAGGAAAAGCGAAGCAAGAACACAUCCAAAGCCCAUGCAGAAAAAAAAUAAAAACCUGUGCGUACAGAAAUGAACAUCUGUCUAGAAUAACCAUGCAGCAAGCAGUUGUGACGUGA
This 348-nucleotide long non-coding RNA is filed under the name Numida meleagris (helmeted guineafowl). RNAcentral describes it as "lncRNA (ENSNMEG00000010159.1)". Lineage: Eukaryota; Metazoa; Chordata; Aves; Galliformes; Numididae. The record is from RNAcentral.